CCGAAAAUCCAAACAAACAUCAAUCGCCUGUUGGUAAAGAAGUGUGUAGUUGCCCAAGAGGCGCAGUCUGGUUAAUGUAUUCAGAUUCUAUAUAUGCUACAGUCAAUAUCCAUCGGAGGUUAUGCUGCCUAGGAGAAGGUCCAGUGUGUUUAGGAGCAAAUACCAGUGAACCGUCAGCAAGAAAACUGAAAUUCACCGCACUGCACCUUUCGCGUGGGAGGAAAAAGCUCAUUGAAGAAGGAAAGGAGAGACUCACUUGACCAUCUUGGAUCUUCAUAUGGAAAAAAGAAGUUGAUUGAGCUUCCUUGAGGAAUAAUUUUUUUUGACGCGUCUGAUUUUUGCUGAGGAACUUUUGUCAUAAGACACAAAGAUCUUUGGACUUGUGGAAGGUUUUUGUUAAGCUUUUGAGCUUUCUGCUUCCAUACCUAUGAAAUCGGCGCUAUACCCUUUACCUGCUUCAAUCAGAAAACGGCAUAUAAUUAAAUGGGCGUCUUACAAAUGUGAUAUUAAAACCUAUAAAGAUAAAAUUGGCAUAAUAAUGUAUCCUCCAGCGGCAUCCCUAUUUCACUAACCCAAACCGACAAUGACGGCGAUGUAACAUAGCGAUUUACUUCCUUCACUGUCAUGUGACUUUAAACCAUUGAGCAUUAUUUUUUUCAAACCCGGUCAGUCUUUUUCAUCAGUUUAAUGAGGUGAGCAGUGGUUCUCAGUGACCUCCAUUGCCAAUAAAAUACUCGUAGCUCA
Molecule: non-coding RNA, 744 nt
Organism: Gasterosteus aculeatus aculeatus (three-spined stickleback)
Lineage: Eukaryota; Metazoa; Chordata; Actinopteri; Perciformes; Gasterosteidae
Source: RefSeq, a predicted model, not a curated record